Molecule: ribosomal RNA, 266 nt
Filed under: uncultured Staphylococcus sp.
Lineage: Bacteria; Bacillati; Bacillota; Bacilli; Caryophanales; Staphylococcaceae
Description: partial 16S ribosomal RNA
Rfam family: Bacterial small subunit ribosomal RNA
Source: RNAcentral
GUGCCAGCCGCCGCGGUAAUACGUAGGUGGCAAGCGUUAUCCGGAAUUAUUGGGCGUAAAGCGCGCGUAGGCGGUUUUUUAAGUCUGAUGUGAAAGCCCACGGCUCAACCGUGGAGGGUCAUUGGAAACUGGAAGACUUGAGUGCAGAAGAGGAAAGUGGAAUUCCAUGUGUAGCGGUGAAAUGCGCAGAGAUAUGGAGGAACACCAGUGGCGAAGGCGACUUUCUGGUCUGUAACUGACGCUGAUGUGCGAAAGCGUGGGGAUCA